RNAcentral lists this ribosomal RNA (520 nucleotides) under uncultured bacterium. RNAcentral's name for it is "partial 16S ribosomal RNA". It matches the Rfam family "Bacterial small subunit ribosomal RNA", at positions 28 to 507 of the family's 1533-position model. The record is from RNAcentral.
GACGAACGCUGGCGGCGUGCCUAAUACAUGCAAGUCGAACGCACUCUCGUUUAGAUUGAAGGAGUUUGCUCCUGAUUGAUAAACAUUUGAGUGAGUGGCGGACCGGUGAGUAACACGUGGGUAACCUGCCCUAAAGUGGGGGAUAACAUUUGGAAACAGAUGCUAAUACCGCAUAAAACCUAACACCGCAUGGUGUAGGGUUGAAAGAUGGUUUCGGCUAUCACUUUAGGAUGGACCCGCGGUGCAUUAGUUAGUUGGUGAGGUAAAGGCUCACCAAGACCGUGAUGCAUAGCCGACCUGAGAGGGUAAUCGGCCACACUGGGACUGAGACACGGCCCAGACUCCUACGGGAGGCAGCAGUAGGGAAUCUUCCACAAUGGACGAAAGUCUGAUGGAGCAACGCCGCGUGAGUGAAGAAGGUUUUCGGAUCGUAAAACUCUGUUGUUGGAGAAGAAUGUAUCUGAUAGUAACUGAUCAGGUAGUGACGGUAUCCAACCAGAAAGCCACGGCUAACUACGUG